This 34794-nucleotide long non-coding RNA is filed under the name Ananas comosus (pineapple). RNAcentral describes it as "long non-coding RNA (ACOM_LNC024687)". The record is from RNAcentral. Lineage: Eukaryota; Viridiplantae; Streptophyta; Magnoliopsida; Poales; Bromeliaceae.
CUAAACAACUUAGGGCCGUUUGGCUAGAUAUAAUUAUAAAUGCAGUGUAGUUAGAGAUGCAUGCCGUUAAAAAUACAGUAGUUAUAACUACAUGAAUUUUGUUUGGUUGGAUGUAGUAGAAAGCGCUGUAAGUAUAAAUAAUUUAUUUGGUUGCAUGCAGUUGAGAAAUAAUUUUUAAAAUUUUAUUAUUUUAUAUAUAUAUGAUGGGGAGAUUACCUCCAAUGUAAAAAGAAAAAUAAUCUUUAUUUGAAAAAUAUUGAGGAGGUAAGCAUACCUUUUAUUUAAAGUUGCUCUCUCCAACUAUUGUAAUUGGAACUACGGCCAAUUUGGGCGUAGUUCGAACUGCUGCAGUUGGGCCUCCUCCUGCAGUUCCUACUGCAGCAGUUGGAGUUAAACACAUCAAACCAAAUACGAAAUUUGCAUUUACAUGCAGUUACAACUGCAUUGCAGCUGCAACUACAUGCAACCAAACGGCCCCUUAAGAGUAGUUUAGUUUAUACAGUUUUAUGACUAAGUAAACUACAAAAAGAAAAUAAAAGGAUUGUAUAGUGUUUAUAUCAAUGUUGUGAUUUUGUUUAGUGUCUAUAAAUGCCCUUGAAGUUGCUAUUCUCACUAUAAUAAAAACGGUGUGUAGUGAUACUUUUAAAUAUUAUUGAUAUAGGUCAAAAAAGUGUUGUUGGCUAAAUUACCAACGCUUUUUAAAAGUGUUACUAUAUAUGGAGUCGCUAUAGUAGGGCCGCCUCGAUAUUUGGCAUCCACUUCUCUAGCGACUUGUGUGGAGGGAUAUGUGGCAAUCGUAGCCCUCUAGGGUCCUGCGAGAUUCUCCCAGUCGAACUCCAGCCAUCGAAAUCCUAUCUUGCCGGCUGCGGCCGAGGAGGAGAAGGCGAGAUAGUGAUCAAACUUUUUUUUUUUUUCUUUUUUAUUUGUAAUCGGGCCGAGUAGGCUGUGUGUGGUUGGUUGAAUAGAUGAACUUUUUAUUUUUGAUUGGAUUGAGCUUUAUAUUUAGGCGUUAGUAGAUUUUUUUAAAAGAUUUUGACAUAAAUGGAACACUUAUAUAAAAGAGUCCAAAAAAUAUGUCCCUAUAAUCUAAUUUUUUUGUAGUGUCUUGGUUUUUGAAUCUAUACUAAUGGAUAUGGAUUGUAUUUUAAAUUGUGUUUUAGCUUCAACCCGAUCCAAAGCUCAUUAGAAUCAGUAUUUAGUUUCAGGUUUCAAAUUAAAGUUAGAUCAAAUUCAAACUCACGUGUCAAAUAGUAUAAAAUAAUUAUUUUUCUCUGAAAGUUUAAGAGUUCUCAAAAGAACAGCGUUUUUUAUAUGCUUAGUCUCGUCAUAAUUUGAGUUUGUUUUUAUUUUCAAUCAAUACUAAUAAUGUACAUGGAUUGUAUUGGAAAAGAAUCAAAUCGAGGUAUUAAGGAAUAGUGGAAGCAAACACAUAAGCGAUAAUAAUAAACACAAAGAAAUCAUGUAAUCGCACAACCAAGAAUACUGAUAUUUACGUGGUUAGACCGAAACUAGUAUCUCCGGAUAUCAGAGUAAGAAGAAACUUCAUUAUAACAUAGUUAAGAGUACAAUAUUUUCUUCGAGACACCGAGUUCAGCUGAAAAUAUGAAACUCUCCCCAAAUCAAAGUUAGAUCAAAUUCAGCCUCCAAUGUUAAAUAACAUAACACAUUCUUUUUUCUCUGUAGACUCAAGAUCCUAAAGAAUAGUAUUUUUUGGUGCAAUUCGAAUUCAUGAUCCCCUGCUAUGAAACUAUGCAAAAAUAAUGUGAAACGAUUAUUUUUCUUAUAAUAUUUAUAUUCAACAAUUGGGCAAACAACAUGCCCCUAUAAAUAAACAAAAAAACAAAUCAUGUACAUACGUAUCAGGCGAUACAAAUAGUGUUACAGUACACCGAAAUGAAAAUACGCUAUACCAUAAGAUUUUUUUUUUUUUUUUACAUUUUUUGAAAAGUUUAAUGUAUACACAUAUUGCUAGCAUUGAAUUGGAGUAAAGCCACACACUAUGUAUGGAGAGAGCCCCACCAUGUGAGGUUGUGAGACAAACCCUUGGCCUCCUUUUAAGAGAAAGGAACCCAGAAAUUUAGUGCAUUGUCCCCAAUCACUUUUCAUUAAUUUUCCUUUUGUUACUCCUCGUGUUUACAACAAGCAACUCAAGAGUUUUAACAACAUUAACCAAAAAAAAAAAAAAAAUGUAAUUUUCUUUUAACAUACAUUGAUCUGACACUUUUUUAUUUGUUUUCUCUGGUUACUGUAAUUAUCAUUCUAUAUAUUUGCAACCAAUUGAAAGUAAAAUGGUGCAAAACAUGUGAGUGAGUACAACAUUACUCGAAAAAAUAUUAUUUUCUUAAUAAAACAAGAAGAAGAAUAAACAAAUAAUCAGUGUAAUGAAAUUUAAGCAUUAAUAAUUAGUUGUUGAGUUUAAGAUCUAAACAUUUGUAUUACUAGUUGAUAUAUAGUUGUUUAUAUACAUUUGGUCCCCCAAAAGAUACGGGCUAAAAUACAAAAUUAAUUCGCUUUUAUCGUACACUUUCUCCUAGUUUUCUAUUAUCUUUCUAUAUUUUUAUUGUAAUGUCAUUAAUUCUUAUGUUUUGCUCUUCUCGAUAUGUUCACGACUUUUAAAGUGAUUGUUAAAUUCCAUGCUAUAUUUGUUUUCGUUCUUUCAAAUAGUAUAUCAAUAUUAUGCUACGGUCAUUUUAUAAAAAGUUGUGACAUACGAUUCUUAUCUUUAAUGUUUAAGAGAUUAAAUUUUAUUCGUUUAUUUCACUUGUUAAUCUCACAUAUUUUUUAUAUCCGUAUAUGAGUAGGGAUGUUAAAUAGAUCUUUUGAGCUUUUUUUACUAGUCAUUUGUGUGACAUUUUGGAGCAACAUGAUAGUAAGGAGUUGACUAAUGACAUGGAUGAUUGAUCCUCAAAAUAAUAAUUAAUUAGAAGUAUUUGAUUUGAAGUAGAGAACAAGAUGAGUGUAACAUUGCAACUUAAGCAUUAGACACUUAGGGGUUGUUUGGUUUUUCAAAAAAGUGUGAAAAAUAAAAUUCCGAGAUACAAGGUUUUCACGGAAAAGCUCUUUUUCAAUUUUUUGUCUUUUUCAAUUUUUCGUCUGUUUCGUUCCAAGAAUAUUUAGUAUUUUUAGAAAACUUCUUUCGAAAUUUUAUGAAAAAUUAACAUUUUUAUUUUUCUACGAAAAAUUCAGAAAACAAAAUUGUUAAUUUGCCAUAAAAUUUGAAAAACAAGUUUCGAUAAAAGCUAUUUUUUUUUUUUAAAAAGAAACCAAACAGACAGAAAACUGAAAAUGCGAUUUUUCAUGAAAAAAAGAUUUCUUGAAAAACUUUUUCAUACUUUUCCGACAAACCAAACACCCCCUUAGCUUAAUUAUUUCUACUAUGUUUAUCUUGCAUUAAUAUUUGCAUAUAUACUCAUUUCCAUUACUUUUCCAUUACAAUUCAUAGUUAUCCUAAAUUUAAGGACUUAUUUGAGGCUAUAUAGAGUACAAUACCAAAUUCAUAUUGCAUCAGUUAAAACUACGGGUGUGUUUGGUUCAAAUUCGAAAUCGGCAUCAGAAUCAGAAUAAAAAUAAGCUGAAAACGGAAUCAGAAUGAUUCAUUACCUCAUUCUGUUUGGUUCGCCAUCUGAAUCAGAAUUGAAAUAAACCAUUCCCUUUGUCGGUGUUUGGUUCAAAUAGAUAUUAGAAACGUAAUAAAAUUAAUAUACCAAUUUUAUCUUUAUAAUAUAUUAAUUUAAAUUCAAACUGAAAAUUAAAUAUUAAAAAUUUACGUCAAAAUUUUAAAAUGAUGUCAAAAUUUUAAAUAUAUUUUUUAAAAAAAAUUAAAUUUUGAUUUUUGAACGGAUAAUUCAACUAAAUUUCGAUUUAUUCAAAUUCAAACUUAAAAUUAUAAUUUUAAUUUCAAUUUGAAUCAAUAAAUUUAAUUUAAAUUUUAAAUAAAAUUUGAAUAAAAACUUUAGAUUUUAAAUUUAAAUUUAUAAAUUAGAUUCGAAAUGUUUGAUUGAAUUUUAAUUUUAAUUUAAGUUCAAAUUAAAAGUAAAAUUUAUAAAUAUAAUUUUUAAACUUAAACUUAUGUUUAAAAAAUAAGCUUAAAAAAGUUAAAUCCAAUCCGAACAAACCCAUUCCGCUCGGAUUCAAUUUUUAAUCUAGUCUCCUACGCUAGAUUAAAAACAAAGGGUAAUUGGGAGGAUUCUCAUUCAUCCGAAAAUCGAAAUUGGAAUGAAAACUUCGCAUACCAAAUACGGACAAACGGAUUCAUCAAUUUUGAUUCCGAUCCCAGGGCGAAAAAUGGGCAAACCAAACACACCCUACAUGUAGAGAGUAAAUAUGGGUGGGAAAAAGUGCAAGGAUGGAUCUUGUAAUUUAGCCAAAUUUAAGUAGAUUAGACUUGCUUGAAAUCCAAUUUGAGUCACAAAUAGGGAUGAACAUCUUUGUCUAAAGAGAGUUAUUAAAUAGUUUGAUUUUUGUUAAUAGAGAAUAGGAUAGAUCUCAGUUUAAUUUUUUAUAUUUUUAUUUCUUUAUUUAUUUUUUGUAUAGAAUGGUCCAUCCCUAGUUUACUACUGAUCUUCCUAGCCCCAAACUACUAAUCAAUUUGGUUUAUCAACAACUUGCGGAAACAGCUAUAAUUGGUUGGAUGGACCAGUAUGCUUAAUAAUUUUCUAUCCAUAUUUCUAUUCCAACUAAAUUACUGAUAUCUAAAUAGUAAUAUGUCGUAGUAGAUUUAAAGGGAUAAUUGCUUAUAUACCCUUUGUACGUUUGAAAAUAUUCGAUUUAUUCCUUUUUUUUUCUAAAAUAUCUCUUAUAUGUUCCACCGUUAUUGCAAAAUACCCCCGCAGUUAUCUCCUGUUAAGUUAACUUGAGUUAAACGUGAGUUAAAUAUCUACCACAGUUAAAAAAAAUUAAAAUAUCAAUUUUGCCCUUAACUUAAGGGCAAAUAAGAAAUAUUGGUGACGGUAGAGGGGUAUAUUGGAAAAGACCAAAAGUCAAAGUAGUUUUUUUGCCCCUGACUUUAAAAGCAAAUAAGAAAGUUAGUGAUGGUGGAAGGGUAUAUUUGAAAAGGCAAAAUAGUAAUUUUAUAGAGGUAACAGAGUUAAUUAACAGAUUUUAACUCUAAAAAUAGGUUGGAACGUAGAAAAGAUAUUUUCAAUAUUAGUCUUCUAAGAGGGGUAAAUCGAAAAGUUGGAAACUUUUCAAGGGUAUAUAAGUAAUUGCCCCUUGAAUAAAAGUGUAUAGAACUAAACUUAGAGUCAAGGAUUUAAAUGUCGUGGCACGGAAUCGUGUCGGAAACUUGCCGGCACGGUACGGCACGGUGCGUGCCAAGCCGUGCCGAUGGAUGCCGGUCAAAAAUUUUUGUCUGCCGACACAUAAUAGUAUGAAAUAAUUAUUUUCUUUAGCAACAAAAUAUUUUAACUAUUUAUUAUGUCUUUUUAUCACAUAUUUUGAACUUUAUUGAGAAAAUUACUUACUAAUUUAAAGAAUAGGGGGUUUUGAGCUGUGCCAUCGGUACGGGGUCUGUAUCAUGUCGUUAUCUUGUUGACACGGCACAAUACGGUAGAUACGGUCGUGUUGACGGGCACUUAAAAUCUUGCUAAGAGUAAAUUAAGUGCUAAUUUUUUAGAAUGUUUUUUAUUAGAUUGUUAGUAGUAUGUUGACAUCAUCUUUUUUAAAUGUUUUAUGAUAUAUUUGUUAAGCGUAUUAACAAAUUAUUAGGAGCCUUUGUGGAAUAAAACCAAUGCAUUUCCUAUACAUUAGAUUUUAUCUCACCUCUCUCUCUCUCUCUCUCUCUCUCUCUCUCUCUACAUAUGAUGUGUCCAAUCAUAUGAAUUCAUGAAAGAGGCAAUUGCUUCUCCAUGCCACAUGCAUUUGUACUUUGCUAAGAAGCUCUUUUGUCACUUGUGCUUGGAGGCAAGUUAUAAAAAACACACAUCUUGCUUCUUUUAUGGUAUCUCAUAUAUCUUAACAAGGGCUAGUAUGGUCCCUCCCUCUUAUCUUAAAAAAGGCCAUGCAUAUCAGUUUUAUCAAUGAGUUUUCUCUUUUUAAGUUCAGUCAAAUUCAUGUCUGAGAUUGUAAAUUUGGACUAAUCAUUUUUUUUCACAUGUUGUUUAAUAAAUAUUUCGACUGGAAUUUAAAUUUUAUAAAAUUAUUUCUAAAAUAUUUCCAAAUGGAUUUGAAAAAUUAUUUCAGGAAAAAAAAUUACUUUCUUAUUGGACAGCUAACGCUCUAUAGUUUUUAACUAAAAUCAACUCUCCACAUGACCAAAAUUACUUCAGCAAGAAUUAUUUCUAUAGAAGCUACGCCAAAUAGGCAGGCAUGCAUUUUCUAUUCUUGUUAUAUAAUGUUGCGCUAUCUCUCCUUACAGUGCACAUCACACGGUUUACUUUACAUUCACAUACGAAUUAGCAGACAUGUUAGGUGUGUCUGUACGUGUAAAAUUAGUUUACGAUAUCUAAAAAAAAAAACUCUUACCUUUGUUUGGUUGGGGUUAAGGGGUGGAAUAACCUCUUAACCCCCAUAUUAUUCCCAAACACUUUCAAAAAUGAAUGGGGUUAGCUAACUCCACCUCAAAUGGGCUAUUUCGGAUUAGCUAGCCACAACUAACCCCACAAAACCCCAACCAAAUACUAUUUUCUAUUCAUAAUAAUCCACUAUCCUUCUUAUCCCACCUACUCCAACCAAACACUAUUUUUCACUAUUCUGAACUAACUCCAACUCCCAACUAAACACAAAAAUACUCUAACCCCACUUUAAUCCUGAACUUAACCCUAUCCCUGAAAUAACUAGUUUUUUCUUAACCCCGAAUCAAACGGUAGCUUAACAUUUUCACAAUUAAUUAGUUUUACUAUAGACUAUGUUAUUGCAAAAAAUUGUAGUAAUUAAAAAAUAUUUUUUAAUUUUUUUUCCUUCAACAUUAUAUAUAUCUGUAAAAGAAACAUUUCAACAUCAAUUAAUGCAAGUAAUAAUAACAACAAUAAUAAUCUUACUCAUAAUAUGCCUACGGAUUUCUUUAAGAAAAAAAUAAAAACAAAAGAGAAAGAACAGUUGACCGUACAAAGGUAACUACAUUAUUGUAGUGUUUGCACAGUGCAUUGCAACUACAAAAUUAAAUUCAUUUAACACUUAAUAAAUGCACUUUAAUUUCCACAACGCAUCCAUCAAACAAAUCCAAGUUUGGCACGUAAGCUCCCACCCUGUCGUAUCCAUAAUCUCUACAACGGCGGAAAUUAUUGUCUAGACCCGGUCCACCAUUUUAACUCCCGAUGGGUGUUAGAAGCUGCUCGAUCUUGCUGUAGAAUGCAGUGCUGUUUGAUUAAACAUUAUCAUCGCAACGCCUUUGAGACUAAUUUGUGUAUAUAUAUAGCUUCUACGCUAAGAUCGAAUCAUACCCUAAAUGUUUUUUUUUUUAGAAAAGCAGACGAGUCGUGUCAUGCUCCAUUUUGGAUUGCAGACAAAAUGCAUUAUUAUGAACACGUUACGUACGUAGAUCGCAUUGGUUUGAAUAAGAUAUGAUUUCUGUGAUCCCACUGAAAAGUAAAGAAAUGUAUCUUUACCUAUUUCGGCGUCAACAACUUUCGACCUUCGACCCACGACCGCUUGGCCAUGGCAGAGGCGGUAUCUGCAGCCGGAAGUGUGCGUGGACCGGGUGCAGGCAAUAAUUGAAACUGUUGUGACAGCAAAUUAAUAAAUGGGACCAAAGCACCGUGUAGGCCCAACAACAAAUUAUGUAAAAGCAGACCCAGCUCUAGGGUCUAGACAACAGCAAGGUACCAUGCAAUUUAAUAUAUAAUAUUAGUUAGUACAAAGAUUGGUUCCCCCCAACUUGUUUUCUGCUUCCAUGGUACCCAAUCUAUCUUGUCCCUUUCCUACAGUUCUUCUACAUUGUUGCUGGCACAACUAGUCACUUUUUAAUUUUAUAUAUAUAUAUAUAUAUAUAUAUAUAUAUAUAUAUAUAGAGUUGGAUUAGGCUACUAUUAGUAACAAAAUUCUAUUAUUGCUACCAAUUUUUUAACCUUUGGAUCAACUCUUUUUAUUAUUUCUAACCAUUAGAUUAAAUGCUAUAACCGAGUGGGGACCACUCAACCCUAGGGGAUCACUCAACUGUAACCGAUUAAUAUCAUCCUGACCCUACAAUUUUUCAUCCAAGGGUUAAAAACUUGAUAGCAAAAAGAGCGUUUUACUAUUAAUAGUAUUUCAGCCUAAUUAUAUAUAUAUAUAUAUAUAUAUAUAUAUGCCAUGGCUACUAUACUAUUAUUAGUAUUGGAACCAUCGUACUCAUAAGUUGUUUUCGAUGAUGGAGCUUCCGGAUCGACGAUUCACUCCAUUAAAUAUGAUCUAGAGUAUUUGAAACUUCUAGAAAAUAAAUUUCGUAAAUUUUUGAAAUCAUAAUAAAGUCCAUCAAGUGGGCAUAAAAUGAACGAUCAAAAUCGAACGACAUCCUAAAAAAGUAUGAUCGGAUCCUUCAAUUCAAGAUCAGAGUUAUUGAUCUUUAUCUAUGUAGUGAAUAGAAUUUUCUAUCAAAAAAUCAACAAAUUCCGAUUCUUUUACACCGUUAAACUAGAAAGUAUCCCAUACCGGCCGUUAAAAAUUAUCAAAUUUGUGACCUCUUGAUCGUAAGGUAAAUGAUGUUGAAAAAUUAUAAAAUUUGAUUUCUAGAAGCUUUAAAUACUGUAAAUAAUGUUUAACGGUGUGGAUCGUCGAUUCGGAAGCUCUAUCAUCGAAAACAACUUAUGAGUACGAGGGCGAUCGUACUCAUAAUAGUAUAGUAGCCGGACCCUCUAUAUAUAUAUAUAUAUAUAUAUAUAUAUAUGCAUAGAGAGAGAUUUGAGCUCUCGUACUUUUAAAAUUAAGCACAAGAAUAAAUGUGUUUUUAAUUUUUUAGCUGUUGGAUUGGCUCAAGAUCCGUACAGUAUUAAUAAAGAGAACUUAAUAGGACAUACCGGUAAUAGUUCUGUAUGAAUUUCGAGACUAUGACGGCUAACAAUUUCUUUUUGGCUCUUAAAUCAACCCCUUUAAUCAUUUCUAACCUUUGGAUUAAUACUAUUACCCUGUGGUGACCACUCAAUAGUAGGGAUACUACUCAACUUUAGUGGGGACCGCAAUUAUCCCAACCGUAUAAUUCUUGAUCUAAUGGUCAAAAAGUCGGAAGCAUCAAAUUCUCUUUACUUUCGACAGCACAGUAGCUCUGCAUGCACGCACUCCAUUCCUAAUUGGCACAGCUACUGCUUUUGUUUUUAGCAAUAAUCAUAUCAAUUAAAGUGUUUGACAAAUAAAAAAUUUUAAUUUCUGUAUUUUAGGAGGGACGGGAAAGGAGAUUUUGAUUCCCAAAUGUAAAGCCUUAUCAUUAUCUAUUUUUCUUUCUUUUUUUUUUUCUAAUACAAAUUUUGUGUAAUUAGAUAUGUUGGUGAAUGGACUUUUAUAUUUUUGGCACAUUUGAUUAAAAAUAAAAAUAAAUCUAAAAUAUAGUGUAAAGAUUGAUAAAAUAUAAUAAUACAAUGCUGUCUUAAAAAAUAGUUUAAUAUAGUAAUAAAAAUAAAUAUUAAAGUACAAUAUGGCGGAGUGUAAUUAAGUCUUUAAAAUCAGGUAACUUGCAAGUUUGGUCCUCAAACUAUGAGGCAGGUAAUACUUUGGUCUUCAAACUUUAAUUUACUAUAAUUUUUGGCUCAAAGUUUCAGAAUUAUUGCAAUUGAGAAUUAUAACCGAAUUUAUAUGAUUAAACACUGAUAUAAAAGUUUUAUGAUUGAUGAUACACUAAUAAUUAAAAUAAAGUUGUGAAAUGUAAUUAAAAUAAUUUUAAAAUAUAAAUAAAAAAUUAUAAUAAACUAAAAUUUAAGAACUAAAUUGUCAUCGGGCUUGUAGGUUGGGAACCAAAUGUGCAGUUUAUUUGUGGGAUAACUAUUUAUAUACCUCUCAAAACUUCAGAAAUAUCUCAUUUACUCUUUUUUUUUUUUUCUUUCCAAAUAUACUCCUUAUAUGUUCUUCCAUUAUUCAAAAAUACCUUACAAUUACCACUUAUUAAGUUAAUAUGGGUUAAAUAACUGCCAGAAUUUUUAAAAAAAUUUAAAUAUCUCAUUUUUCAUUAAUUUAAUUAAUGGUAAGAAAUAUUGUUGAUGAUAGAUUUGAAAAGAUAAAAUAUCAAAAUACUUCUUGUGCUCCUAAUUUAAAAGACAAAUAAAAAAAAGUCGGCGAUAGUAGACGGGUAUAUUUAAAAGGAUAAAAUAAUAAUUUUAUAGAAAUAAUAGUUCUUACUAAUAAUUCAUUAACAAAAUUUAACUCUAGAAGAGUACAUUUAAAAUAGGUUGAAAAAUAAUUUUUUUUUUUUUAAUAUUAGUCUUGUAAAAAAGAAAAUUAGAAAGUGAAAAAUUUUUGAGUGAUAUAUAAUUAACUUUUCAAUGAUAAAUAUGCAAAAACUCGGCUCUGUCCCCGAGGCGAAGGAGCACAUCCCGGAAUCUCCUCGCUCUCGCCCCAGUAAAGUCCGAAGCAGAACUGCAGAAGCAGAGUCCACAAAACAACAAAAGAAAGAGAGAGAGAGAGAGAGAGAGAGAGAGAGAGAAAAAAGGAGAGAGAAAAAAAAAAGAAAGGGCAAAAAAAAGAGCCCGGAAAAGAAAAAGUCGUUUGGCAGAACGGCUCUACGUCUUGUCAUCUGAUUUCUCAUUCAGUAAACAGGACAGACCAAUCGCUUUUGUUAAAAAAAUAUGUGUACAUGUGUUAGCAUAGCAUGUAAGUCCCACCACCUUGAAAAAGUAAAAAAAAAAAAAAACUUUAAAUACUAUUUCUGUAAUUAGUACAUUUUUAUUUUAAUAUUUUAUAGUUUAAAUAGUUUAUUUUAGUGCUGUAUAAUUUCUUUUUUUAUUAUUAUUUUUUUUAUUUAUUUUUGACCAAUUUGCAUAAAAAAUUAUUAGUUUUGAGAUUUUGCAAAAGUAGGCUAUAUUUUUUAGAUUUUGUAGAUUCAGUCCGAAUUUUUAGAAAACUGACCAAAAUAUUUUUAUUCUUUUUUUUUCUCUCUUAUUCUUUCUUUUUUUUUUUUUUUCUAUCAUUCAUUUUUUUUUCUUUCUCUCCGAAGAGGCAAUGGAGCGAGGAGACCUGCUCGCCUCUUAUCCCAUGCACCUCACCCUCGCCCUCGCCCUCAGCCAUGCACCCUGCUCUCCGCCUCCUCGUCCCAACCAAAGUCGAGCCGCAAUCGUUGACCCUCGUUUUUUUUUUUUUUUUUUCUCUACGACCCUCCUCCACUGUUUUUUCGAUUUUUUACAACAGUAAAGAGAACAACGUCACGUCCUUUUUCUCUUCUUUUUUUUUCUCAUUCUUUUGUUCUCUUCGACCCACAAUCCACCGCCUCCGUGACCCUCCAUGACGUUAACGAGGACAACGCUGUAUCCUUUUUCUACGCCUUCGCAAUCGGCAUCGUGCCUGCGCCGGCGCCGGCACCGACGCCGGUGCCGGAGAAGGAUAACUCGAAGCGAGUGCAGAUGAGAGCGGAGCCGAGAAAAAAAGAUACAGAAAAUAAAAAAAUAAAAUAAAAUUAAAAAUUCUACAAGAAAAUUGAAGAAUUAGAAAGAAAAAAAGAAGAUGACGAAGUUGCACUAUUUCAGAAAAACGUUGUACUAUUUUAGAGGAAGCUUACACUCUUUAAGAGAAAAAUUAUAUUUUUUUGAAUGAAAGUUACACUUUUUGAACGAAAAUUUUACUUUUUGAACGAAAGUUGCACUUUUGGAAAAAAAAAAUUACACUGUUCUCCUAUUCCUCCUUUUUCUUCUCCUUCCUAUUCGUUUUUGUAUGUUUCUUCUCCGCCCGUCUGUUCUUCACUCUCCACCUCCGUUGGCAAAUCUUUCGCCCAUCUCUCUUCGGCCCUCUUUUCUUUUCCUCUCCGGCGAUGCAGGAAGGUUAGAGAGAAAAAAAAGAGGGUUGCGGCACAGCUUUGGCGGGGCUGGAGGCGAAGAGGGCGGGGCGGCGCAACCUCGGUGAGGGUAGAGGAUUUGCCGCUUGCAAGUUUAACGGUAUAGAAGAAUUCAAAUCAGAUGAAAUUUUGAUAGAAAAUUGUAUACUAUUUACAACAAGAUCAAUAUGUUAGAUCAAAAAUUUUAAUGCUAUAUCACAACAUUUUGUGAGAUUUUUAUUUUCAGCCGUUGAUUUUGAACCCUUUCGAUCGCUAGGAAAAUGAUAUCGAAAAAUCACAAAAAUUAUUUUCUAGACAGUUCAAAUACGCUAGAUCAAGUCUAACGGAACCGAUCGUCGAUUCGGACGCUCCAUCAUCGAAAACGGCUUAGGAGCACGGAGGCCAGCACACAAGGCNUCUCUCUCUCUCUAUAUAUAUAUAUAUAUAUAUAUAUAUAUAUAUAUAUAAAAUUGAGCUCCUAUGCUUUUAAAAGUACUAAGUUAUUGAUGGUUGUAGAUUUUUGACCGUUAGAUUAAGAGAUGUACGGUUAGGAUGAUGUUGGCCCCCUAAGGUUGAACGAAUGGUUGGUUGAAUCGUAUAAUCUAACAGGUGAAAAUGAUCAAAGGCAUAAAUCUAAUGGUAAAAAAUUUACAAGCACCAAGUGAUUGGUGCUUUUGCAAACACCAUAACCAGAUUAUACACACACACACACAUACACACAUAUAUAUAUAUAGAGAGAGAGAAAGAGAGAGAGAGAGAGAGAGAGAGAGAGAGAGAGACUACUAUUCUUUUGGAAGCAUGGAGUCUUCCGUGCUUUCAGGUCAUUUUCGAUGUUGCGACUUUCGAAUCGUUGAUCGGCUCCGUUAAACUUUAUCUAGAGUAUUUGAAGUACCAAGAAAAUAAAUUUUGCAAUUUUUCGAUAUCAUUUGCCUAGUGAACUGAUCGAGGGGCUCAAAAUUAACGGCCGAAAAUAAAAAUCUUACAAAACGUGAUAAUAUAACAUUAAAAUUUUAGAUCAAAGAUAUUGAUCUUGUUUUAUAUAGUAUAAAAAAUUUUCUAUCAAAAUUUCGCUUGAUUUGGAUAUUUCUACACCGUUAAACUUGCAAACUCCUCACCACGGCCAUUAAAAUUAUUGAUUUUGAGUCCCUUCAAUCACUAGGCAAAUGAUAUCGAAAAAUCAUAAAAUUUAUUUUCUAAGUACUUCAAAUACUCUACAUCAAGUUUAACGAAGCCGAUCGACGAUUCGAAAGUCGCAACAUCGAAAACGACUUGGAAGCACGGAAGGCUCCGUUCUUUCAGAAGCAUAGUAGCCUCUCUCUCUCUCUCUCUCUCUCUCUCUCUCUCUCUCUCUCUCUCUCUCUCUAUAUAUAUAUAUAUAUAUAUAUAUAUAUAUAAUGAGGCUACUAUACUAUCUAUAGUACAGAAGCUUCAGUACUAUAGUCUCGUUUUAGAUCUUAAGGUAUUCAAAUCAAUGAUCCAAACGUCAAAUAUGAUUUAGAAUAUAUAAAAUUCUUAGAAAUAAUUUUUUUUCAACGUUGUUUAGUAAGUAAAUCUUGUCAAAAUGAAUAGUAAGAAUUGAACAAUUUUUAAAAUUUGAGUUUAAUUUUUAAAAUUUGAGUUUAAGACUUUUGAAUUCAAGAUUAAGGAUGCUGACCUUGAUUUAGAUAGUUUAAAGUAUUUUCUAUCAAAAUUUAAAUAAAUUUAGAUUAUUUUAUACCAUUAAACUACAAACUUGUCAUAAUAAUCAUUGAAAAUUGACAAAUUUGAAAUAGUUUGAUCAUAAAGUAAUUAUGUCGAAAAAAUAUAAAAUUUUAUUUCUAAAAAUUUCAAAUACCUUAGACAGUUUUAACGGUAUGAAUCGUUGAUAUGAAUAUUCUAAAAUCGAAAGUGAGACUAUAGUUACAUAGUGCAGUACUAUUAGAUGUAUAUGAGUCUCUCUCUCUCUCUCUCUCUCUCUCCUCUCUCUCUCUCUCUCUCUCUCUCUCUCUCUUGCUAUAUAUAUAAUAUAUAUAUAUUAAUAUAUAUAUAUAUAUAGUUCGGCUGGGAUACUAUCGAUAGUACCAAACAACUUGGGCUACCAAGUUUUCCGCCGUUAGAUUUAAUUCUUUUACUAUUUCGAAUCUCCCGUUAUUAUAAUAUAGAUUUGAGCUAGAAUACAUUGAUAGCAAAUGGGUUCCGUUGCCACCCAUUUAUUUUGAUGAUGGAGCCUACAAAUCGACGAUCAGCACCGUUGAACAUGAUUUAUACACUUGGAAGUGUUAGAAAUCAAAUUUCAUUACACUUUCGAUAUUGUUCUCUUAUUCAUCGAGUGGAUAAAAAAAUGAACGGUGAAAAUGAAUAUUCUUUAAAAAAUGAUGAUAGGAGUUUUGUAAUCAAGAUCAAGAGUAUAGAUCUUAUUGUAAUAUAGUUUAAAGAAUUUUCUAACAAAAAUUCAAUUGAUUUGGAUAUCAUUAUGCCGUUAAACGAGAAAACGCCUCAUAUCGACCAUUAAAAUUACAAAGUUUGAAACCUUUGAUCAUUAGGCAAAUGAUGUUGAAAAAAUUUGAAAUUUGAUUUCUAAACACUUCAAGUGAUAUAGAUCAUGUUCAACGGUAAAUCCAAUGGCUAAAAAUCUGAAGCACCAAUAACUUCGGUACUUUUAAAAGCAUAUGAGCUCAAUUAUAUUUAUAUAUAUAUAUAUAUAUAUAUAUAUAUAUAUAUAUAGUUGAGCUAUGAUACUUUUACAAGUAUCACCAUCAUGGUGCUAAAAUUGAGUUUUAUAAGCCAUUGAUCUACUUUUUGAUUAUUAAUAGCCCUUGGAUAACACUAUUCCACCUACCACCACUACCACCAUCAUCUCAACCUCACAUCUUCUCCAUCAAGGGCUAAAACACACAAAUAUCACUCCCAUGAUACUUUUACAACAUUUCAGCCCUACUCUAUAUAUCUAUAUAAUUAUAAUAUAAUAUAUAUAGGCUGGGGUACUACUAUACUCAUAUGAGUAUAGAGCCCUUUGUGCCUCAUAAGUUUUCAACCAUUCGGAUGAAAAAAUGUACGGUUAGGAUGAGAGUGGUUACGCUUAGUUGUAUAGUGGCCCCUAGGGUUGAGUGUGGGUUGUUGAAUAUAUAAUCUAACGGUUAAAAUGAUUAAAAGGUAGAUCUAACUCUAAAAACUUAUGAGACAAGAGCGCUAUACAUAAGAGUAUAUAGCCGGAUAUAUAUAUAUAUAUAUAUAUAUAUAUUAUAUAUAUAUAUAUAUAUAUAUAUAUAUAUAUAUAAUAUAUAUAUUAUAUAUUAUAGUGAGGCUACUAUGCUAUCGAAGCACGGAGCCUUCCGUGCUUCCAGCUCGUUUUCGAUGUUGCGACUUUCGAAUCAUCGAUCGCUCCAGUUAAACUUGAUCUAGAGUAUUUGAAGUACUAGAAAAUAAAAUUUUAUGAUUUUUACGAUAUCAUUUGGCUAGUAACGAAAUGCGCUCAAAAUCAACGGCUGAAAAUAAAAAUCUUACAAAAUGUAAUAAUAUGACAUUAAAAUUUUAAAUCAAAGAUAUUGAUCUUGUUUUAUAUAGUAUAAAAAAUUUUCUAUCAAAAUUUCACGUGAUUCAGAUAUUUCUACACCGUUAAACUUGCAAACGGCUCACUACGGCCAUUGAAAUUUGUUGAUUUUGAGCCCAUUCGAUCACUAGGCAAAUGAUAUCGAAAAAUAAUAAAAUUUAUUUUCUAGGUACUCCAAAUACUCUAGAUCAAGUUUAACGGAGCCGAUCGACGAUUCGAAAGUUGCAACAUCGAAAACGAGCUGGAAGCACGGAAGGCUCCGUGCUUUCGAUAGCAUAAUAGCCUCACUCUAUAUAUAUAUAGUAAUGCUACUAUACUCAAGUACAAAUAUAUAUAGUAGGACUGCUGUGACGGCCCAACUUCCUACAAAAGUCAACAGUAUGAGAGUCUUGCACUUUCGGUUGUAUAACCCUGACUCAACCGAAACUCAUCUCAUACUUUUGGCUGGUAAUUGGCUCUGAUACCAACUGCCACGCCCCAACUUCCUAUGGGGGUCAUCCAUCGUAGGAUUACUUCCGUCCUAGCACGCUUAAAUCUUUUAACCUCUUGGACCUACCCACUACCGAAAAUAUUUAAGACGGGUUAAGAGUUUUAGCCAUAUUAUAUUUUAUAUAUAGGACUAUCUCUGGAGUCUCACGACUACCGUCCUCUUAUAAGUAUGGAAGCUUCCAAAUUGACGAUUUAUAUUGUUAGAUAUGAUUUAAUUUAUUUGAAACUUUUAUAAACUAAAUUUUAUAAUUGUUUAACAAUACUAUCCAUACACCAAAAAAAAGAGUUGAUAUCUUAUAUCGACGGAUGGAGUGUAAAGCAUACAUUCCAAAUAAGGUGUAUAGACAGCAUUUUUCUUUUUUUGGAAAAAAAAAGUAUAGAGACCCUAGGCUUUAGCUUUUUCAUAAAUAAACACUUGAACUUUCAAUUUUGAUAAUUAUAUCUCUUAAACUUUAUCAGAUAAUUCAAUAGACCACUCUCCUCUAGCGAACUUACUAAUUACACAAUUAUUUUGAUCGAAUGUCGUAUACAUAAUUUUAGAAGACUUCAAAGUAUACAGAAAACUAUUUUUCCGGUUCCAAUUUAGAUAACUAAGCAUGACGAUCGAAAAAUAGUUUGAACUAAACUUCAAAUUUUUAUCAUUUUUUAUUUAUUUUAGAAUACAAAAAUAUUUUUUUAUAUAUUUUCAAGCUUUAUAAAAUUAUAUGUAAUACGAAGGUCUGGCUAUUGUGCUUUUAAAAGACCAGCACUUUGGUGUUUGUAAUUUUUCGCCGCUACAUCUAUCACUUUAACUAUUUUCAUCCGUUAAAUUAUACUAUCCAACCCACCACCUACUCAAUUUUAAAGAACCACUAUUAUUCUAACCGCACAUUUCUUAAUCCAAGAGCCAAAAAUCUAUAAGCACCAAUAACUUGCUAUUUUUAAAAGCAUAGACGCUCGCUCAAUUUAAGCAAUACGUACAAACAAAACAGCUGUGUAAUUAAUAACAACAAGUGAAUAGAAAAAGUUAUUGAAAUAUUUGAUAAAGUUUGAGAAAUUUAAUCGUCAAAAUUAACUGUUCAGACGCGUGUUUACAAAAAAACAAAAGUUUAGGAAAUCUUUUGUAAUUUUUCUUUUUUUAAAAAAACUAAAAUGAGAAAGAGAGAGAGAGAGAGAGAGAGAGAGAGAGAGAGAGAGGGCGCGCGCUCCUCCCUCGUCGGGUUCUGCUGCUGCAGCAGCAUCAGCUCUGCUGCAGCGAGCAGCAGAAGCAGCAGCAGCAGCAGCAGCAGUUGCAGUAGCUGCUGCGCGCUCUGAUCCACCGAUAAAAGCGAGGAGAAAGUGAUCUCGGACGUAACACUACACCACACCUUUAUAUACCACCCCAAUUACCCAUCUCUCUCUCUCUCUCUCUCUCUCUCUCUCUCUCUCUCUAUAUAUAUAUCUUUUUGUGUGUGUGUGUGUGUGUGUUCUUGCUGAGUAUAAAACAGGCUGCUGCAGCAGCAGCAGCAGCAGGAACAGUAUUAGUAAGGAUAAAGAAAAAUUGGGUAAAUUGCAGUAUUAGUACAUAAAUUUAACCGUGUUUCAUUUCAGUUCAUACACGUCUAAUUUGGCACUCGACAUUUAAGGCAGCUUUUGGUUCGGGAACACAGGGGAGAAUAAGCCCUUGUUUUUUAGCUUUGUUUCCAAAUGUAAAUUUUUGUACCCCAUAAUAAUAGUUUUUAGAUUUCUGGAAUAAACUAGUAUAAUUAAUCCGAUAUAAGCCUGGAACUACUGUCACAUUUUUCUAAUAUAAUCCGGUAAUUAUGGUAUUAAAUCAUUAAUUAAUCUAAUUAAUAUAUUUAAAUCAUUAUCCGUUGCUUAAAUGAUAAAGUAAUUAAUUAAUUUAUUAGUAAAAGUUCGACGAUUAAAAUAAAAUAUUGAUCAAGUUCAUAUUUAUACUUAAACUUAUAUCUAUUUCUGAAAUAAACAGUUUUUACUUAUACCUGAACCAAACGUAGCCUUACGUAUUCGACAACAUUUUAUUUUAAUCGUCGAACUUUUACUAAUAUUUUAUUUUAGUCGUUAUUUUGGAGUAAAAAUUGUUGCUUACAAGUAACUUGUCUUUAUAUACUUACACAACAAAUAUAUCGGUUAUUCGUCUAAUUUCAUAUUUUGAAUUCAACAUUUAAACUCUAAUGGAGAAAAGAUUGUAAUUUUAUAAGGUGGAACUGUCCCUGUAACAGCAAAUGUGUAUUAGGACUAAAAUGAAAUUCUUUUUAAGAGUUUAAAGAUCUCCAACACAGAACUUGAAACUUCCAACACCAAACUAAUACUAAAUCCAAAGUUCAUAAACUAGUGGUGCCAUUUAUUCAAUUAAAAUAUAAAAUGCGAUAAAGGGCUGAUCAAUGCAUAGUUCGUAAAAUAAACAACAUUACUCAGUGCUGGCAAUAUUUUGCUCCCUAACAAAAAAAAAAAAAAAUGAAGAGGACAUAACUUAUCCAAACUAUCGGGGAUUUUGAAUCAGCUACAUGAUCUUUCAAAAUUUUAAUUUUAGUGUCCAAUCUUUCAAUUUAUUUAAUUUGAGUCACGCAACGGCACUUUAUUUUUAAAAUUUGAGUUAAUUGCUUACUUAAUUAAAUUUAUAGUCGCAAGAAUUGCAUUAAAUAUACUAAUUAAAUAUGUAAAGAUAAAAAAUAUAUUUAAUGAUUCAAAUUAAACAAAUUAAAAGAUGGAUAGUAAAAUCAAAAUUUUAAAAGAUCGAAUAGUCAAUUCAAAAAUGGUUGAUAGUUCAGAUAAGUUCUGUAUAUAAAUUUUUUAUCUAAAAAUAUUUACAAGAACUAGAGUAAAAUUUUUACAGAAGUUUUAAAAAUUUUUGUUUAUCCAAUUUAAAAAUUCUGAGAACCAAGGUGAAAUUUACCAAAUAGGAUAGGAGCACUUGUCCUAUCAAGUUGUUCUUGAUGAUCGAGAUUCCGAAUCGAUGAUCGGAGCCGUUGAAGUUAAUCUAGAGCAUUUGAAAUAUCUAGAAACUAAAUUUCAUAAAUUUUGAUAAUGGUUUACAUGGUGAUCAAAGUGUCGUAAAAUCGACAAUUUUUGACGGCCUAUAUGAGCCGUUUGCUUGUUUAACGGUGUAGAGCAAUCCAAAUUGCUUGAAUUUUUGAUAGAAAAUUCUUUAUACUAUUUAGAUAAUGUUUGAUAACUCUGAUUACGAACUAAGAAAGUCUAACCUCUAUUUUAAGAAGGUUAUUCAUUUAUGACCGUUCAUUUUUCAACUCUUAAGAUGAACUUGAUAAUGAUUUUUAAAUAUUACAACGCUCACUACGGCCAUUGAAAUUUGUUGAUUUUGAGCCCAUUCGAUCACUAGGCAAAUGAUAUCGAAAAAUAAUAAAAUUUAUUUUCUAGGUACUCCAAAUACUCUAGAUCAAGUUUAACGAGCCGAUCGACGAUUCGAAGUAUUGCAACAUCGAAACGAGCUGGAAGCCACGGAAGCUCCGUGCUUUCGAUAGCAUAUAGCCUCACUUCUAUAUAUAUAUAGUAAUGCUACUAUACUCAAGUACAAAUAUUAUAUAGUUAGGGACUGUGUGACGGCCCAACUUCGCUACCAAAACUCAACAGUAUGAGGUCUUUGCACUUUCGGUUGUAUAACCCUGACUCAACCGAACUCAUCUCAUACUUUUGGCUGGGUAAUUGGCUCUGAUACCAACUGCCACGCCCCAACUUCCUAUGGGGGUCAUCCAUCGUAGGAUUACUUCCGUCCUGCACGCUUAAAUCUUUUACCUCGUUGACCUACCCACUACCGAAAAAUAUUUAAGACGGGUCUAAGAGUUUUAGCCAUAUUAUAUUUUAUAUAUAGCACUAUCUCUGCGGUCUCACGACUACCGUCCUCUUAUUAAGUAUUGGAAGCUUCAAAUUGACGAUUUAUAUUUUAGAUAUGAUUUAAUUUAUUUGAAACUUUUAUAAACUAAAUUUUAUAAUUGUUUAACAAUACUAUCCACACAAAAAAAGAGUUGAUAUCUUAUAUCGACGGAUGGAGUGUAAACAUACAUUCCAAAUAAGGUGUAUAGACAGAUUUUCUUUUUUGGAAAAAAAGUAUAGAGACCUAGGCUUUAGCUUUUUCAUAAAUAACACUUGAACUUUCAAUUUUGAUAAUUAUAUCUCUUAAAUUUAUCAAUAAUUCAAUAGACCACUCUCCCUCUAGCGAACUUACUAAUUACACAAUUAUUUUGAAUCGAAUGUCGUAUACAUAAUUUUAGAAGACUUCAAAGUAUACAGAAACUAUUUUCCGGUUCCAAUUUAGAUAAACUAAGCAUGACGAUCGAAAAAUAGUUUGAACUAAACUUCAAAUUUUUUAUCAUUUUUUAUUUAUUUUAGAAUACAAAAUAAUUUUUAUAAUUUUCAAGCUUUUUAAAAUUAUAUGAAUACGAAGGUCUGGCUUAUUGUGCUUUUAAAAGACCAGCACUUUGGUGUUUGUAAUUUUUCGCCUUGCAAGUUUAACGGUGUAGAAAUAUCCAAAUCACGUGAAAUUUUGAUAGAAAAUUCUUUAUGCUAUAUAAAACAAGUCAAUAUCUUUGAUCUAAAAUUUUAAUGUCAUAUUAUCACGUUUUGUAAGAUUUUUAUUUUCAGCCGUUGAUUUUGAGCUCCUUCGUUCAUUAGGCAAAUAAUAUCGAAAAAUCGCAUAAUUUAUUUUUUUGGUACUUCAAAUAUUUUAGAUCAAGUUUAAUGGAGUCGAUCGACAAUUCGAAAGUCGCAAUAUGAAAAACGACCUGGAAGUACNGCCGCGACUUUUUUUUUUUGCUUUUUUCUUUUCUUUUCUUCUCCGACUCUUCUCCACCGUCUCCGACGACGACGCCUCUCUCGUCCUUCCCCGCCAUUCUUAUCUCUCUCUCCCUGAUUCUCUACCGCCUCCGACGAUGAUGCAUCUUCGUCGGCGCCGACGUCGACACCGUGGAGGUCACUGCAGCGCUACAGCCUCGGAGCAGGGGUCCUUAGCGGCGUCGUCGCAGGCACCGUGGCUGUUGGCAGAGAGGGUGACAAAAAAAAAUUAUAGAAAAAACAGAAAAAAAAAUAAAGUUAAAAAAUUAUAUAAAAAGAAAGAUGAAGAUGAAAUUGCAUCGUUAAUUACAAAAAAAUUAUAAAUUACACUACUUAAGAUAUAAACUGCUGCUUUAAGAUAAAAAUUAUACUCUUUGAACGAAAAUUACACAUUUUGGGUAAUAUUUACACUGUUUCUAUUCUUAUUGCACUUUUUCAGAUGUAAACUGUAUCCAUUAAAAUGAAAAUUAUACUCUUUAAAUGAAAGUUGCACUGUUUCCUCUUGUUGCACCAUUUCUUCUCUUGUUACACUGUUUCUCCUCUCGUUUCUCCUCUUAUUGCACUAUUUCUGUGUAAACAAUGGGAGAAAUAAUGCUACAAGAGAAGAAACAGUACAAUAAGAGGAGAAAUUGCACCAUUUUAAGAGAUAUUUAUACUGUUUCUCCUCUUGUUGCACUGUUUCUCCUCUUGUUGCACCAUUUCUGUGUAAACAAGAGGAGAAAUAGUGCAACAAGAGGAGAAACAAUACAACAAGAGAAGAAACUGCACUGUUUUAAGAGAUAUAUAUACUGUUUCUCAUUUUGUUGCACCAUUUCUGUGUAAACAAAAGGAGAAAUAGUGCAAUAAGAGGAGAAACCGCACUGUUUUAAGAGAUAUAUAUACUGCUUCUUCUCUUGUUGCACUGUUUCUUCUCUUAUUGCACCAUUUCUGUGUAAAUAAUAGGAGAAAUAGUGCAACAAGAGGAGAAACAAUGCAAUCAGAGGAGAAACUGCACCCUUUUAAGAGAUAUUUAUACUGUUUCUCCUCUUGUUAUACUAUUUCUCCUCUUGUUGUACCAUUUCUGUGUAAACAAGAGGAGAAAUAGUGCAACAAGAGAAAAAACAGUGCAACAAGAGGAGAAACAGUAUAAAUAUCACUUAAAAGGAUGCAGUUUAAGAUAAAAAAUAGUAUAAUAAGAGGAAAACAGUGCAACUUUCGUUUAAAGAGUAUAAUUUUUAUCUUAAUGAUUACAGUUUACAUCUGAAAGAGUGCAAUAAGAAUAGAAACAGUGUAAACAUCUCNNNNNNNNNNNNNNNNNNNNNNNNNNNNNNNNNNNNNNNNNNNNNNNNNNNNNNNNNNNNNNNNNNNNNNNNNNNNNNNNNNNNNNNNNNNNNNNNNNNNNNNNNNNNNNNNNNNNNNNNNNNNNNNNNNNNNNNNNNNNNNNNNNNNNNNNNNNNNNNNNNNNNNNNNNNNNNNNNNNNNNNNNNNNNNNNNNNNNNNNNNNNNNNNNNNNNNNNNNNNNNNNNNNNNNNNNNNNNNNNNNNNNNNNNNNNNNNNNNNNNNNNNNNNNNNNNNNNNNNNNNNNNNNNNNNNNNNNNNNNNNNNNNNNNNNNNNNNNNNNNNNNNNNNNNNNNNNNNNNNNNNNNNNNNNNNNNNNNNNNNNNNNNNNNNNNNNNNNNNNNNNNNNNNNNNNNNNNNNNNNNNNNNNNNNNNNNNNNNNNNNNNNNNNNNNNNNNNNNNNNNNNNNNNNNNNNNNNNNNNNNNNNNNNNNNNNNNNNNNNNNNNNNNNNNNNNNNNNNNNNNNNNNNNNNNNNNNNNNNNNNNNNNNNNNNNNNNNNNNNNNNNNNNNNNNNNNNNNNNNNNNNNNNNNNNNNNNNNNNNNNNNNNNNNNNNNNNNNNNNNNNNNNNNNNNNNNNNNNNNNNNNNNNNNNNNNNNNNNNNNNNNNNNNNNNNNNNNNNNNNNNNNNNNNNNNNNNNNNNNNNNNNNNNNNNNNNNNNNNNNNNNNNNNNNNNNNNNNNNNNNNNNNNNNNNNNNNNNNNNNNNNNNNNNNNNNNNNNNNNNNNNNNNNNNNNNNNNNNNNNNNNNNNNNNNNNNNNNNNNNNNNNNNNNNNNNNNNNNNNNNNNNNNNNNNNNNNNNNNNNNNNNNNNNNNNNNNNNNNNNNNNNNNNNNNNNNNNNNNNNNNNNNNNNNNNNNNNNNNNNNNNNNNNNNNNNNNNNNNNNNNNNNNNNNNNNNNNNNNNNNNNNNNNNNNNNNNNNNNNNNNNNNNNNNNNNNNNNNNNNNNNNNNNNNNNNNNNNNNNNNNNNNNNNNNNNNNNNNNNNNNNNNNNNNNNNNNNNNNNNNNNNNNNNNNNNNNNNNNNNNNNNNNNNNNNNNNNNNNNNNNNNNNNNNNNNNNNNNNNNNNNNNNNNNNNNNNNNNNNNNNNNNNNNNNNNNNNNNNNNNNNNNNNNNNNNNNNNNNNNNNNNNNNNNNNNNNNNNNNNNNNNNNNNNNNNNNNNNNNNNNNNNNNNNNNNNNNNNNNNNNNNNNNNNNNNNNNNNNNNNNNNNNNNNNNNNNNNNNNNNNNNNNNNNNNNNNNNNNNNNNNNNNNNNNNNNNNNNNNNNNNNNNNNNNNNNNNNNNNNNNNNNNNNNNNNNNNNNNNNNUAUAUAUAUAUAUAUAUAUAUAUAUAUAUAGAAAGAGAGAGAGAGAAAAGGGGAACAGUAAUGGAGGUCGGGGGACUGCAUGUGGUACGGACAGGGGUCGCUUUGACCCGUCCCCCGCUUUUAGCAAAGCUGAGGUGUAGCGGACAACCUGUAGAGAGAGAAACCAUACCAAAUACAUACAAUACUGCAAGAUUUUAGAGUGAGAAAAAAGAAUAUAGGCCACACUCUUUGGCAUAAUAAUUUAGUAAUAUAGCAUAUAAUAAAAGUAUUAUUUUUAUAUAGAGUUAAGCUCCCAUAUUUUAAAAUAUAUUCGUAUUUGUAAUUUUUUUUAACUAUUUAAUCGCCUCAAAAUUUAUAUAAUAAUAAUAACAGUAUAUUUUAUUAAAUCUUUUUUACUAGUACUGCACUGCUGCAUGGAUAUUUAGACGAUUCAAUAGCUAAAAAAAUCACGAGCACAGAUAUUUCUGUUAUUUUAAAAGCGUAGAAGCUCAACUCAUUUUUAUAUUAUAGAAAUUUACAUUAUCAAAAAAUAUAUUUGUUUUCUUAAAUAAUGCUAUAUUUAUAAAUAAAUUUUAUAAUAAUUUAUAGAAUAGCGUACACGACGGUAUUUAAUUGGUAUGACUUACAAAAUUGUAUAGUUUAUAAAAUAUUAUGAGAUUUUAAUUGUAAGUAAAAUAAAUUUUUUUAUAUAUUAUGAAAUUGCGAUGAUAACCACCAUAUAAGAAGGGCAUAAAAUAUAAAGUCUAAUUUGACAACACAGUGACUAAAAAUACUAUUUUUAUACUACGAAAGAUCAAAAUAAUUGUAAAACUACUUACAAUUUUUACUCCCCUAAUAUUUUAAAAUUAUAAUUACAACAAUAAUUUUAUAGCGUCAAAAAAAAAAUUGAAAGCACUUUUAAAUUAUUAGAAUUAUAUGAAUAGAUUAUUACGAUUAUGAUUUGCUGAAAUUUUUAUGCGGUUGUCAGAAUUAUAUCUAUAAAAUAAAAGGAAACAGUAAAUAAUUUACUGUUUGUAUAUGAUGAGUAAGGCGGUAAAUAAUUCAUUCCUUUUAUAAAAAAAUUGAUAAAUAGUGAAUCGUUUACUGCUUUUAUAAAAUUUACCAAAAUUUUUUCAUACAAUUAUUUAUCUAAACAAAAAAUUUUGUAGAAUCAUUAAAAAAAAAGAAAAAAAAGGAGGUCCCCUUAAAAGCUAGGACCUAGAGAGAGAAGAGAGUAAGAGAGAGUGACUGAGAGAGAAGUUAUAAUCACUCUGUUCCUGCUCUGUUUUUGCUCUGUUUGUUUCCUGUGUCUCUCCCGUCUCUUCCGCUCUCUUUUUAGGUUUUUUUUUUUUUUUUUUUUUUUUUUUUUUUGGGGGGGGAGAUAUUUUUUCUUGGUGUAUAGAAUAAGUAGUAUUAGUAUCGUCGUGUUCAGUAACUCGGCCUCUGACGACCAUUACGACGAUGCGUCACUCCACUCACCACGUCUCCCCUCCCCCUACCACCUAUCACUAAAACCCUAAACCCUAACCUAGCUGCGACCCUAACCCCUUACUUUACUCUCUCCUCCCUCGUCCGCUUCGCGCAUUGGUGCCCUUGUUUGGGGCUUGCGGGAGCGCAAUGGGAUCGAUCUCAACCGGUGGAGGAGGAGGAGGAGGAGGAGGCGCCGGCGCCGGCGCGGCGCGGCGGGUCGGUGUGCCUCGAGCUGUGGCACGCGUGCGCGGGGCCGUGAUAUCGUUGCGAGGAGGGGAGCUUGGUCGUGUACUUGCCCCAGGGCACUCGAGCACGCCGGCGACGGCGGCGCCGCGCCGCGCGGGGCUCGUUCGUUACGGCGUGCCCCGCACGUCUUCUGCCGCGUCGUCGACGUGAAGCUCAUGUCGGUUUCCUUCGUGGUCAUCUCCCAUUUGAUUAGAGGGUUUCAACGUGGGUUUGUUCUCUCCACUUGCUCUUGAUUUUCUACGUUUUAUUUUUUUUUUUUUUUUUUUUUUUUUUUUUAAUUAGGCGGAGGCGUUGACGGAUGAGGUUUAUGCUCAGCUUUCGCUUGUCGCUGAAACUGAGGUAAGGGUUUCCUAUUUUCAGAUUUUUUUUCCCCUCUUUUUAUUGAAUUUUUGGGCCUAUUAGUUCACAAUGUGACUCAAAGAGUUGCAGUUUUGCUCUUUCUGAAGCUGCUGCAACUUUCAUUUUAAUGGAAUGGGAUUUUGGUAUGUUUCCAAGAUAGUUAGGAAUGAAAAUCUCCAGCUUGUUAAAAAGCAGUAAAAAUGUCGCAGAAAUAAGUUUGAUUGUGGAUUUCUCUUCUUUCUAAAUGAGCUCAAACCAAUCCCUUACUAAGCAAGCACAUUUUUGGUUCGCAUGAAUUUUCACCGAAGUGUUGUUUGAGUAGAGAUAUUCAGCGAAGCAUUACUAGGUAUUUCAUUAAAAAUUUCCUGAAACAGCUCCGAAGUAGAGCUUUUGUUUUCGGGGCCCAAAUUCACCAUGGCAGAAGCAAAUUUAAAUGGUUCUCAAAAACUCAUAAAAACAAACUUUUGUUAUAUAUGUGAUGAUACCCAUUGUCAUUCCAAAAAUGCCAGCGAUUUUAUUUAUUCCGAAAAGCACACUUUCAGCUUACCUAAUAGUUGGCUUUCGCUUCUCCAGUAAAGAAGUUGCUCAACAAGUUGCGCUCAAAGAGGUGCGAAAUGGCUUCGUUGUCAAUAUAUAUCUCACCAUUAUUUGUUUGCUCAGGAGGUGGAGCAACGCAUCCAUGAGGCUGGCGUUGAAGGUGACGGGGAAAUGGAGGACGAUGACACCGAGAAGAGGUCGUCGAUGCCCCAUAUGUUCUGCAAGACGCUCACUGCGUCAGACACGAGCACUCAUGGUGGAUUCUCCGUCCCUCGUCGAGCUGCUGAGGACUGCUUCCCUCCCCUGGUAAAUACCAUCACCUCGCUCUUUGUUCUAUUUUAACAUAUCUUGCAUGAGGUCUCUGUGACUUUCAUAUGCAGUCAUAGAAUUGUUGUUUUACUCUUGGUGCUUGCUUUUGAUUCUUUGGGAAAUGGAAUAGGAUUAUAAGCAGCAGAGGCCUUCUCAAGAGCUCGUUGCAAAAGAUUUACAUGGCACGGAGUGGAGGUUUCGCCAUAUCUAUAGAGGUACAGCGAUGGGAUUGAGGCCCUUUAAUGCAUCAAAAAUAGGACGUGGUCUCUUAAGAACCUUAUUGAUCUUUCUACAUUUAUUAUUCUUCCCUCUACUACUUGUUAAGAUUUCAUUUUUCGAAUAGGAAAAGAAGUUUCUUUUCUUAGUGUUUUACUCCGAAGUUUCUUAACUGUGUAGCUAGCUUACAUCUGUGGUUGGUGGAUUUAGAAACUUUGGGUGCUUUUUUUCCUUUGGAAAUCACAUGCGUGUAAUUCUGAUAGGGGGAACUUUGUUGCUCAAAAACUUGUCUACUUUACAGGUGUUUUGAGUGUUUACUCUGAUUAGAAUACUAAAUGGAAUGAACUUUAGCUCAUAAUUAAUAAUUUGCAAAUUUUGUUCUGUUGAGGAUGACCAAUGCGGCAACAUUGAGAAACGUUGAAGUUUGUUGAUGAAGAUGCAUACUUAGUUUACUUUCAAACAUCAGGUUUUUUUUUUUUGUCAUCCAUAUUUUUUCUCAAUGUUGUCCUCAUCUGUUUAAUUAGUAUUUGCUGAAACUAGUUACAUCUGCGAAUGUGAAGCAUAAAACAGCUUUCUAGCUUAACUUUUCACCUUUAUCGUUUUUUCUGUUGGCUUCUUGAGUUACAGGUCAACCACGUAGGCAUCUGUUAACUACAGGGUGGACUGCAUUCGUCAAUAAGAAGAAGCUGGUCUCAGGGGAUGCUGUGCUCUUUCUUCGGUAGGUAUUUUUGGAAUGCUGUUAUAUGUAAUAGUUUUAAUUUUUAAAGAACCUUCGCAAUUCAAGGUUUUCCAACUUCUGCAGAAGCCACAGUGGGGAGCUAAGAUUGGGCAUACGAAGAGCUGUCCAACUAAAAACUGGAGCACCUUUUCAAGCACUCCAUAACCAGAACUCGUGUAUCAGCACCCUGGCUACUGUCGCUAGUGCUGUGUCCAUGAAAAGUGUGUUCCACAUCUAUUACAAUCCAAGGUUUGUAAUUCUUUUAAUCUCAGUCAUGUUAAUUGGCUGAUUUGCUAUGUUUUUGUAUGUGCAUCUUCUUGCGUCAAAAAGCUUUUGGCCCAAAGCUUGAGGAUAGUCACUUUUGAUAGGGUAUUGUUCUUCUUCCUUAUGAUCACAAGGUUUAGCUCUUAUCAGAGAAUUAGACCUACCUGUUCUCAAGAGAAGUAUUAACUUCAACCCAACUACACAUUAUGUUGAUCAAGGAAAUUCAAAUAUCUUGUUUUACUUUUUCAAUGUAAAUUUGUUCCAUGCAAGAACUUCUAACAAACAGAAAAAUAGAGGAAACAUUCUUGUUGAGAUUUCAUGCUAAAAUGAAGUAUUACAGUGCCAACAGCUUUUUAUUGAAAGCUAAUAUUCUAAUUACGAUAUUUUGGGGAGUAGAUGGAAAGUUAAUUUUGUUUUGCUAAGGAGGAGAGAACUUGCUCUCCUGGAAAACUGCUUGUAACUUGUUAGAAAGUGUGAUAAAUUGAGGAACUGUGGAAAAGAUCACCAUCCAAUGAUCUUAAUUCUUCUGAACAGAGGUAAAAAUGGUGUAGAACUUUUCUCUGAAGCAUCCAGUUGUGUCAAGGAAGCAUGAAGCAGGGAAUUAUUUGGUAAACUUACUCUGAAGCUAGAGAAGGACGAGAGUUGUGAACAACAUAUCAGUUUAAGAAUUAACUGAUUUUACAUUAAGAAUAGCAUCAGAUGUCAGUUAAAGAAGAACAUCUUUUUAGAGCAAAGCAAUCACAAAAGGAUUAGUAUGUGAACUGCGUUCUGAAUAUCUGCCUUACUGCUUCCGCAUUAACCAAUUUUGAGAUUUUCAGGGCAAGCCCGUCUGAGUUCAUUGUACCUUAUUGGAAGUUUACGAAGAGCUUCAGCCAUCCAUUUGCUAUCGGAAUGAGGUUUAAGAUGCGAUACGAAAGUGAGGAUGCUGCAGAGAGAAGGUUUGCAGAAUUCAACUAGCAAAAAUUAUCUUUUCUAUAGUCGAAAAUUAAUAGUUGAUUUGUUCCUGUGCAGAUAUACAGGACUGAUAACUGGAAUCAGUGACGUUGACCCUAUAAGAUGGCCUGGAUCAAAAUGGAGAUGUUUACUGGUGCACGUUUGCACUUUGUCAUAUUAAUCUUUAUCAUCAUAUAGUGCACAUGUGAAGUUGGAUUAUCAUGUUUGAAUUUCGAAUAAGAUACAGCUGGGACAGCAGGGUCCUCUUUCUCUACCAGAUACUGUUGAUCAAUGGCUAUAUACCUUGAUGCUGAAAUUCCUCAUUCCGGGAUCAUUUGUUUUCAUCAGGAGAAAUUUAAAGCAUUGUGUACUUUUUGUACAUCAGAAUUUUGUAGAUACUUUUGCAUCAUUUUUGUGUCAACCCUAGUUAUAUGCAUUUACCCAAAAUGUUAUGCUAGAUUGCAUGAUCAUUGAUCAAAAAUUUCCUUCCUGACUAUAAUACUAGACAAUGAUAUCCAAGGAUUAAAGUGCUGUGGUACAAGAUUGUGCCGGAAACUUGCCAGUACGGUACGGCACGGUGCGUGCCGGACCAUGCCUAUGUGUGCCGAUCACAAAAAUAUGUGUGUCGACACGUAAUGGCACGAAAUAUUUAUUUUCUUUAGCAAUAAAGUAUGCCAAUUAUUUAUUAUGUAUUUUAUCAAAUUUUUUGAACUUUGUUGAGAAAAUUUUAUACUAAUUUCAAGAAUAGAGAGUUUUGAGUUGUACCAUCGGCAUGAGGGCUGUAUCGUGUCGAUAUCUUGCUGGCACGAUACGGCACGGUGGACACGGCCCGUGCCGAUGGGCACUUUAAUCCUUGAUGAUAUCUAUCUUGUUUACCAUGUCUAUUUGCCAAAUAUAAAAAAGAGAGAAACUAUAAUACGUGAACUAAUGAUGUUUUCUCUUAUCGGAGCUUCUGUUUGUUAACUAGGAUUUUACUAAUUGUGGAUCAGAGCAAAUAGUUAAAUCUGUAGCUCUUGUGGUGUUGCACCUGCUAUAUUUGUAUUUGUAUUUGUAUUUGUAUUUGUAGGUAAAUUUCAUCCUGCAGAAACUCAAUUGUUUGUUAAUGCUAGUUUUGUGAUUUUCUUUAAUUCAUGUUUCUAUUUUAGUGCAUAAAACAUUUUAUCUCAUGAAACUACCGACUGUUGUACAAUGUUAAUUGAUUUGCUAUAAUUUUGUAGGUAAGGUGGGACGAGGAUGUAGACAUCAGUCGUCAAAAUAGGGUCUCUCCAUGGGAGAUCGAGCCAACUGGUUCCAUUUCAGGCUCCCAUGGUCUCUCCCCGUCCAGCUCGAAAAGGGCAAAAAUGUCUCUUCCCACGGUCAAUUCAGAAUUUCCAGUUCCGAGUAUGUUCACAUGACAUUCUGGAAAAGGCUUGUUUGCUGAAAAUAAUCUUUCUUACUAUUUCGUGAUUCUCUUACUCCUUUCACAAAUCUUUGCAGAUGGAAGUGGUUCCACAGACUUGGGGGAAUCUUCAAGAUUCCACAAGGUCUUGCAAGGUCAAGAAAUUUUGGGUUUUCGUACUCUUCGCGAUGGUAUGGAUGUUUCAAGGAACACCCAAUACCCAUAUGCUUUGAGUGGUUCGAGAAGUGGUGCUGGAAAUCCAGUUGGAAUCUCUGGAUUUCCUCACCAUUGUGCGGGCUUUGGCGAAUCUUUUAGAUUCCAAAAGGUCUUGCAAGGUCAAGAAUUAUUUCCUCAUCAUCGAGGAACUUUAGUUGAUGCUUCUACAAGAAAUUCUGGUUUUGGCUCGUCUGCUGCUUUGAAUAGAUGGCCUGGUCAAGCACAGGGAUAUGCUUCUUUCGCGCAGUCAUCAAAUCCGCCAACUCAAGCAUCUUCUCCAUCAUCUGUGCUUAUGUUUCAACCGACAAACACUGUGAUCCCCCUUAUUCAGACCGUGCAUAGGCAAUGGGAUAAAGGUAACUAAUAUCAACCUACAUUAUAUGCUUUCAGGUAAUAUCAUACCAUCUGAUGCUAACCUUCAAUUUAUUGUAAUCUGGUCCAGCUGUUAAGUGACUUCCAAUUUUUCCUGAUGGGAAAAUAAGGCGACAGCUGAUCAGCUGCCUUAUUCACUCUCUCGGGAAAAUUGCACUCCUCUUGAUUGACGGACCUGAUCAUAAUGGUUGGCUGUAACAAACUAAAAUUUGGUGACCUAAUUGAAUUUUCAUGAUAAGCUCUGUCAGCCUUGUGGAAAAUGGUGUCAGUUACUCUCAAGUUUCACCCUCUUGCAAGAAAAGUAGAAAUUCCCUUACUAAUCUCAUUUAUGUUCUAGGUGAUUGUAUCAACGAGCGCUUCGAGAUGGGGAAUGUCUACACUCGAUAUAUUGCUAAGCCAGGGUUAAAUAACAGGGAUGUUAGCAGGAAUGGUUGCAAACUUUUCGGUUUCUCGCUAACUGAGAGGAUUCCUGUGACGGAUGAAGGGGAUAGCGGGGAGGUCAAUUGUGAAACUGAAUUUCAGGCUUCACGGCCAUCACUGGAACGCAAUUGUACUGCGGAAAGAGCUCUUUAUGCUCUCUGCGCAGCUCCUCUUUAGGACGCUCUUUGCUCUUUAUUAUUAAUAAGUACAGCAGGUUCGCAAGCAAGGGGAAUGUUGCAGGGAUGUUUUCUUGAUGUUCCAAAGUUUCGUAUAAGGUAUUCUAAUUUAGGAAGCUGCAGUGGUAACUUGAUGUGCAAAGAAUGAUGACCGGGAUCUGAACGGGAUCAAUCAGCAAAAUGUUUGUUGUCCAUAACUAUGAUGCAAUUUUUAUGAUGUUAGCGGGCAAUGAGGCUUAACAAUUAACAGGUAGGGUCUUUUCCUUUGCGAUUUUGCUCCUUAAAGUAGUACUGUGAAUCACGAGCGUGGGCAUUGAUUUUAGCUUUUGCUAUGUCUGCAGAGACUUUUUGGCAAGUUUGCCUCCGAUAUUUCGAUAAUGAGUUGUAGAUGAAAAGCAGUACGUUCGAUGGAGAUGCUGCUGCCUUUAUCAGAUGAAGCACCUUUCUCCCUCAAUUUCAACCAGUACGUGGUCUGCGAUCGUCUUAUAAUUUGCAUAUAAAUCUCGCAUUUUCUUGGUUUGCUUCUUACCUGUAUCUGUCCUUCUCGAAUUCUGCUAAGUACUGGUUACGAACCUUAUGUAAGUUAAUUAGGUUAAACGUUCCCUUUAAAUACCGUCAAUGUUGGACCAAGAAAUUGGUAAUUUUCAGGUGUUUGUAUGCCUCUAUUUGUAGUAGUCUUUUUUGUUUCCGAAAGGUGAGUUGAUUUUUAUCUUCUGCAUAAUUUUGUCUAGGAAGUUUAGUACUUAUUACUUGUUCUCUGCUUUGCAAGUUCAUAUAUCACAGACCUCUGCAUGUUCUGAAAGAGAAUACUGGUGGAAGGGUUUCAUGUUGAUAACCAACCAAUGGCUAUGUAGCUAUAUCUUUGUUACAGUAGAGCAAUUUGUAGGGUACCAUUUUAUGCUGUUGCACUUCGUAAAGUUAAUGAAAAGCUUGAGAAGAGUAUCAUUUGUUUGUGGAUAUGAUGUUCUUUGAUUUGGAAGGAAAAAUCAUAUGGAAAUGAGCUCGAAAAAUGGUCAUCAAAGAGGAGCUCUAAAAGUAGAAGUUUAAAAUUGAAGCUACUAAUUUUGUUGUAGCGGUUGCGUCUUUGAAUGGCUUGUUUAAAGAGCACUUUGAAGCACCAGCUGAUUCACACAGGUGUUAAAUGAAAAUUCUCCUCUCCUUUUCAUGAAUAAAAGUUAAGGUAAAAGUGUAUGGAGACCCUCGCAGCUACAGGGCAUUUGGAAAUGGUCCCCCCAACUUUGAACUUUUUUGUAGCGACCUUCUUAUCAAUGAUGAAUUUUUUGAAUUAUGUGAUUUUAAUAAAAGAAAUUAAAGGAUUUUUAUCAAAUUUAUAAAUGAUUUUACCAAAUAAAUGGGUCUAAAAUAAUUAUGGUUAAUGGAUAAUAGAAUCAAAAACUUUAACACCACUUUUAACUAAACUAAUUCGCAUAAUUCAAUUCUAAAAAAUAAAUAAAUAAAGGGCUUUCAACAAAAGUAGUGAAGUUGAGAGAGCUAUUUCAAAAUAACCUAACAGGAUUUUCAUGCUUCUUUAUCUUAAAAUAAACAGAGGUUUUGAAAUUUUUUAGAAUGACAACCACUAAUUCUUAGAGGCCACAUUGAUUACUUGUAUAAUGUCAUAAAGGUAGAUAUACCAUAGUGUCAUUCUCACUACUUUGUUACCCAAAUUGCACUAAAAUAAAUAAUUAAACCCUAUUUAGGUCCAUGUGCACCCAAAAAAGAUUGUUAGGGCUCACAAAAGUAGUCAAAUGUCAAUUAUUGCGUCAAAUAAAAAAAAAUUAAAUAAAUCCAUCUCCCCUUUGUCCCCUGUGGAUAGUGGAUACCUACAAUCUCUCAAAACUUUAUUAAAUGAUGGUAAAAAUGUAUAAAAUUUUACCUCAAUCACCACCUAUUUGCAUUUAACUAUCUAACCUAUAAAAAUUUUAAUUUUAGCAUCCAAUUUUUUAAUUUAUUUAAUAAAUGCAUCGUAAUUAUAAAUUUAUUAUUGACGAGCUAACUAAGAAUAUAAUAAGAGUCUGCUUGGUCCACAGUUUGUAAUAUUUUUGGUAACUUUUCAUGUUAUCUAUUGAAAAUAUUCAAAUCAUUAUUAUUCAACUCAUAUUAGACAAGUAUGAAAGUGUUAGUAAACUAGUAAAAUCAUUAUAGAUUCUCGGCUAGUAGGAGUAUGUACAAUGAAUUAGGAGACAUUCUCAUUUUCGAAUUUAAUAAAAGAAUAUAUUAGUUCAUAAUAACCAUCCAACUUAAGUGACUUGAUAAGCUAGUAUCAAAUAUGUCACUCGAAAUAUAAAAUAUAAAUAUUUUUGAAAUAUUACAUGUCUUGAACCAAACCGCUCUCAAGAGAUAAGUCCACCAACUAGCACAUUAAACCAUAUAAAUUUUGUGUUUAAAUGAAUAAGAAUAAGUUAGAAAUAAUGCCAACUAAGGAAUUGGAAUUACAUGGGAAAUGAACAAGUGGUAGACCAUGUCAAUCAAUUUUCCCAUUUAUCAACAUGAAUACGUCAAUAUAUAUCUAAGGAGAAGUAAAUAAAAUUUUCUUAACUUUUCUUAAAUUUUUUAUUUUAAAAAAUGAUUGAUAUAUAGCCCCUCACAUAUUUUUACAUGUAGGUCCCACUAAUUUAUGAAAAUUAUAUGUAAUAAAUAUUGUCAUUAAAAUUUUUUUAAGCUAUAAAUUAUGUGUAUUGCUAUUUUGUAGUUUAAAAAGUUGGUAAAUUGUGUGCAAGAACUUUUUUUAAAAAAAAUUAACGAAAUUAUGAGUAAAUUAUAACUUAUGUAUGUUGCUACUUAAAAAGUUUUUGGAGUAACUAUAAUUUAUGCAUAUUGUACUUUUUGAUUUGAAAAGUCGGUAAAUUAUAUGCAAUAACUAAUUUUUAUUUUCAUUUCAAAAAAAAAAAAUUAUGUAAACAAUAGGUUAUUUAUAAAGUGGAAUAAAAUUAUGAUAUUGAUUUCUAGUGAUAGACAAGUUUUUUACCUAGCAUUUGAGCUGUUGGAAAAAAAAAUACAGUAACAAUUCAAUUGUGAUUAACUAUUUAACAAUUUUAUAAUUAAUUUAAAUAAUAAAUUUACAGUUAAAUGCCAUGAAUAUUUCAAAAAUUAUUCAAAAAGAAAGAAAAAAUUAGAUCAAUCUGGAAGCGCGCGUAGCACUGCCCUAAGUUGUAUUCCCGUAUUUCAUGCAGGAUUAACUGAAAACACCGCUCUAAGAUACGAUCAGAAUUUCUCUUCCUGCAAGUAUGAAUAUAAAAGAGAUUGACAAAGACUCUUUCAAUAACCGACAAUAAAAAAAUUAAAUAAGGAGAAUAGAAUAAUAAAGACAUGAAAAUAUCUCUCAAAUAAAAUUUGCUUUCUCACUUUUCUUUGUCAAUGAUAUUCGUACAUGAACAGCAGACAAUCUAUCUAUAUAGAAUAUAUAAUUGGUUAGGUUACAUCAUAAUCACAAAGGUGGCUUUUGGAGAAGCCACCUCUCCAUUAUAACCCGUAGCCAAUAAGAACAUGUCUUUUUAGAGUACUAGCUAGGACAUUCAAAAAAUUGAUGUAGAGAGAGAGAGAGAGAGCUUUGUCAAUAUCCUAACUUGGGAGUGGACCACAACUAAGAAAUAUUAUCAAUAAAAUUAUAUAAAACAAUUAAAUUUGGUUACUUAGUUUCGUACGAACAAUACGUCACAUAAAAAAUUAAAAAAAAAAAAACAUGAAGAGAAACAAUAUUAAAUAGCCAAUUUGAUUAAAGAGGUUUGAAGUUGACUUAGGAAUAUUAAUAGGAUAUAAAUAAAAUGUGCAUCAUAUAGUUUAUAUAUAUAUUUUUUUGUAGUAUAAGAAUAUAUAAAAUGAAUAUGCUUUCACAUGUGAUCAUACCACAAAAUGCGUAUAGUGAGAAAACAAGCUUGGUGAGAGUUGGAAAGCAAGAAAGAGCGCAAGACAAAUUUAAAAAUGCCUUCUAUUUUUAUCAACUUAAGUAAAUUA